AUCUGAAAAUUUAGAGUAAAAAAAAAAACUGACGGGAGAGAGAAGGGAGAAAGAGGAAGAAGAAGAAGAAGAGAAAAGAGGGGAAAAUAAGGGAAAAAGGAAAGGAGUUGGAGGAAAUAAAUAAAAAGGGAUAAUCCUGAUAUUCUACCGGCGGGACGUCAGUAGGAUUUUUCUUCGAUAUCAGCUUUGAGUUUUAUUGCUUUCAAGUCAGGCUUAUAGCUUGAUAGCAGGUCAUUUUGUUGGACCUUCAGAACCUGCUCUUUUGGUA
Molecule: long non-coding RNA, 268 nt
Organism: Populus nigra (black poplar)
Lineage: Eukaryota; Viridiplantae; Streptophyta; Magnoliopsida; Malpighiales; Salicaceae
Exons: 3
Source: RefSeq, a predicted model, not a curated record